RNAcentral lists this long non-coding RNA (477 nucleotides) under Homo sapiens (human). Its description in RNAcentral is "HSALNT0261272". The record is from RNAcentral. Lineage: Eukaryota; Metazoa; Chordata; Mammalia; Primates; Hominidae.
GUCUCUGUCCCCCCCUCUCUGGGUCUCUGUCCUCCUCUCCCUGGGUCUCUGUCCCCCUCUCUCUGUGGGUCUCUGUCCCACUCUCUCUGGGUCUCUGUCCCACUCUCUCUGGGUCUCUGUCCCCUCUCCCUGGGUCUCUGUCCCCCUCUCUCUGUGGGUCUCUGUCCCCCUCUCUCUCUGUCUAUCCCUGGGUCCCUGCUGCCCCACCUUCUGAUUCUCUGUCCCCUAAGUCUUUGUCUCCCCCUCUUUGGGUUAAAUUGUCCCCUCCCUGUCUGGCAUCCUCCUUUCUGAGUCUGUUCCCUCUCCGCCACUGGCCCCCAACUCCUUCUGUUCCCAUCUCGCGCUUGCCCUUGGAGUCUCCCCUGUGUGUCUCUCUCCCCCCGGCCCGGACCUCUGCACCCCCCAGGUCGCUGUCCCUCUGUCCCCUUAUCGCGGCCUGGGACCCGCCCUCUCCCCGCCUCCCGCUUUGGCGUCUCC